CGGGACACGUGGUAUCCUGUCUGAAUAUGGGGGGACCAUCCUCCAAGGCUAAAUACUCCUGACUGACCGAUAGUGAACCAGUACCGUGAGGGAAAGGCGAAAAGAACCCCGGCGAGGGGAGUGAAAAAGAACCUGAAACCGUGUACGUACAAGCAGUGGGAGCACGCUUAGGCGUGUGACUGCGUACCUUUUGUAUAAUGGGUCAGCGACUUAUAUUCUGUAGCAAGGUUAACCGAAUAGGGGAGCCGAAGGGAAACCGAGUCUUAACUGGGCGUUAAGUUGCAGGGUAUAGACCCGAAACCCGGUGAUCUAGCCAUGGGCAGGUUGAAGGUUGGGUAACACUAACUGGAGGACCGAACCGACUAAUGUUGAAAAAUUAGCGGAUGACUUGUGGCUGGGGGUGAAAGGCCAAUCAAACCGGGAGAUAGCUGGUUCUCCCCGAAAGCUAUUUAGGUAGCGCCUCGUGAAUUCAUCUCCGGGGGUAGAGCACUGUUUCGGCAAGGGGGUCAUCCCGACUUACCAACCCGAUGCAAACUGCGAAUACCGGAGAAUGUUAUCACGGGAGACACACGGCGGGUGCUAACGUCCGUCGUGAAGAGGGAAACAACCCAGACCGCCAGCUAAGGUCCCAAAGUCAUGGUUAAGUGGGAAACGAUGUGGGAAGGCCCAGACAGCCAGGAUGUUGGCUUAGAAGCAGCCAUCAUUUAAAGAAAGCGUAAUAGCUCACUGGUCGAGUCGGCCUGCGCGGAAGAUGUAACGGGGCUAAACCAUGCACCGAAGCUGCGGCAGCGACGCUUAUGCGUUGUUGGGUAGGGGAGCGUUCUGUAAGCCUGCGAAGGUGUGCUGUGAGGCAUGCUGGAGGUAUCAGAAGUGCGAAUGCUGACAUAAGUAACGAUAAAGCGGGUGAAAAGCCCGCUCGCCGGAAGACCAAGGGUUCCUGUCCAACGUUAAUCGGGGCAGGGUGAGUCGACCCCUAAGGCGAGGCCGAAAGGCGUAGUCGAUGGGAAACAGGUUAAUAUUCCUGUACUUGGUGUUACUGCGAAGGGGGGACGGAGAAGGCUAUGUUGGCCGGGCGACGGUUGUCCCGGUUUAAGCGUGUAGGCUGGUUUUCCAGGCAAAUCCGGAAAAUCAAGGCUGAGGCGUGAUGACGAGGCACUACGGUGCUGAAGCAACAAAUGCCCUGCUUCCAGGAAAAGCCUCUAAGCAUCAGGUAACAUCAAAUCGUACCCCAAACCGACACAGGUGGUCAGGUAGAGAAUACCAAGGCGCUUGAGAGAACUCGGGUGAAGGAACUAGGCAAAAUGGUGCCGUAACUUCGGGAGAAGGCACGCUGAUAUGUAGGUGAAGUCCCUCGCGGAUGGAGCUGAAAUCAGUCGAAGAUACCAGCUGGCUGCAACUGUUUAUUAAAAACACAGCACUGUGCAAACACGAAAGUGGACGUAUACGGUGUGACGCCUGCCCGGUGCCGGAAGGUUAAUUGAUGGGGUCAGCGCAAGCGAAGCUCUUGAUCGAAGCCCCGGUAAACGGCGGCCGUAACUAUAACGGUCCUAAGGUAGCGAAAUUCCUUGUCGGGUAAGUUCCGACCUGCACGAAUGGCGUAAUGAUGGCCAGGCUGUCUCCACCCGAGACUCAGUGAAAUUGAACUCGCUGUGAAGAUGCAGUGUACCCGCGGCAAGACGGAAAGACCCCGUGAACCUUUACUAUAGCUUGACACUGAACAUUGAGCCUUGAUG
RNAcentral lists this ribosomal RNA (1733 nucleotides) under Escherichia coli. RNAcentral's name for it is "partial 23S ribosomal RNA". It matches the Rfam family "Bacterial large subunit ribosomal RNA", at positions 418 to 2136 of the family's 2925-position model. The record is from RNAcentral. Lineage: Bacteria; Pseudomonadati; Pseudomonadota; Gammaproteobacteria; Enterobacterales; Enterobacteriaceae.